AGAGUUUGAUCCUGGCUCAGGAUGAACGCUAGCUACAGGCUUAACACAUGCAAGUCGAGGGGCAGCAUGGUCUUAGCUUGCUAAGGCUGAUGGCGACCGGCGCACGGGUGAGUAACACGUAUCCAACCUGCCGUCUACUCUUGGCCAGCCUUCUGAAAGGAAGAUUAAUCCAGGAUGGCAUCAUGAGUUCACAUGUCCGCAUGAUUAAAGGUAUUUUCCGGUAGACGAUGGGGAUGCGUUCCAUUAGAUAGUAGGCGGGGUAACGGCCCACCUAGUCAACGAUGGAUAGGGGUUCUGAGAGGAAGGUCCCCCACAUUGGAACUGAGACACGGUCCAAACUCCUACGGGAGGCAGCAGUGAGGAAUAUUGGUCAAUGGGCGAUGGCCUGAACCAGCCAAGUAGCGUGAAGGAUGACUGCCCUAUGGGUUGUAAACUUCUUUUAUAAAGGAAUAAAGUCGGGUAUGCAUACCCGUUUGCAUGUACUUUAUGAAUAAGGAUCGGCUAACUCCGUGCCAGCAGCCGCGGUAAUACGGAGGAUCCGAGCGUUAUCCGGAUUUAUUGGGUUUAAAGGGAGCGUAGAUGGAUGUUUAAGUCAGUUGUGAAAGUUUGCGGCUCAACCGUAAAAUUGCAGUUGAUACUGGAUGUCUUGAGUGCAGUUGAGGCAGGCGGAAUUCGUGGUGUAGCGGUGAAAUGCUUAGAUAUCACGAAGAACUCCGAUUGCGAAGGCAGCCUGCUAAGCUGCAACUGACAUUGAGGCUCGAAAGUGUGGGUAUCAAACAGGAUUAGAUACCCUGGUAGUCCACACGGUAAACGAUGAAUACUCGCUGUUUGCGAUAUAUGGCAAGC
This 846-nucleotide ribosomal RNA is filed under the name uncultured bacterium. RNAcentral's name for it is "bacterial SSU rRNA". It matches the Rfam family "Bacterial small subunit ribosomal RNA", at positions 8 to 844 of the family's 1533-position model. The record is from RNAcentral.